GAUCUCUUAAAGCUGUUCUCAGUUCGGACUGCAGUCUGCAACUCGACUGCACGAAGCUGGAAUCGCUAGUAAUCGCGGAUCAGCACGCCGCGGUGAAUACGUUCCCGGGCCUUGUACACACCGCCCGUCACACCAUGGAAGUCUGCAAUGCCCGAAGCCGGUGGCCUAACCACUUAUGUGGAAGGAGCCGUCUAAGGCAGGGCAGAUGACUGGGGUGAAGUCGUAACAAGGUACC
Molecule: ribosomal RNA, 235 nt
Filed under: uncultured bacterium
Lineage: Bacteria
Description: partial 16S ribosomal RNA
Rfam family: Bacterial small subunit ribosomal RNA
Source: RNAcentral